GCUUAUGGCCAUACCACCCUGUCUGCGCCUCGUUUUGUCUGAUCUUGAAAGCUAAGCAGGGUUGUGCCUGGUUAGUACUUGAAGGGGAGACUGCCUGGGAAUACCAGGUGCUGUUAGCU
This 119-nucleotide ribosomal RNA is filed under the name Sinocyclocheilus anshuiensis. Lineage: Eukaryota; Metazoa; Chordata; Actinopteri; Cypriniformes; Cyprinidae. The record is from RNAcentral.